Long non-coding RNA from Capra hircus (goat), 1836 nucleotides. The record is from Ensembl. Lineage: Eukaryota; Metazoa; Chordata; Mammalia; Artiodactyla; Bovidae.
GGACCCAUACCCAGUGGAAAAGUGCCUUGGAAGGCAUUUGCCUCAGAUCCAGGGCCUGUUUUAUUUGGAGAACAAUUGGAAAUGAUGAGAGGCCUAACAUGCAAAUUCUCCUUGGCAGCCCCCCGACGGAGGCGGGAGAGAUGCAUUUCCCAUCUGUGGGCCCACGUGCGGGAAGGACGAGGUGCAGGCCUAGACUCGCUGCGUCAACAAGGCAAGCAGGCUACUGGGUCUGUGUGUUAUUUUCUUCGGAGUAAUCAGCGUUUUCCAACCGCGAGAGGGGAUUUGAGGCAGAUUACGAGGCAAUUGUACAAUUCAUCAUGGUGGAUUAUCAGAAGAUGAAAAAGAGAACUGGUCUGAGAAUGAGGCUCCUUCCCAAAUUACCCUGCCACCUUGAACUAGCAGAUACAUGAAUUUGACUGGAGUUUUCUAGAAGCUGCAAUAAAAGCAAAAAUCUGAUUAUACAGCCUAACUCAGUGUCCCUAACAAAAGAUGGGGUGAUUUUGCUCAGCACUCUCAGGUGUUCUCAAAGAAAAUGACACAAAAUAUCAGGGCUGACAUCCCCCAAAUAUCUCAAGUCUGGAUAGCUUUUUAGUCAAGCCCUCUUGUCUUCAGUGCAAGCCACUCCCUGCAAUUCAGCCAAGGCAAUAAUCACAGGUUAAUACACAGCAACCCCCUAGGGGUUUCCCUGGUCACUUAGUGUUAGAGAAUCCACCUGUCAAUGCAGGAGAUUAGAGUUCGAUCCCUGGGCUAGAAAAAUUCCCCUGAGAAGGAAAUGGCAACCUACUUCAGUAUUCUUGCCUGGGAAAUCCUAUGGACAGAGGAGCCCGGUGGGCCACAGUCCAUGUGGUUGCAAAAGAGCUGGACACAACUUAGCCACUAGAGAACAACAACCCCCUACACUCAGUCAUCUGAGAUAAUUAAUUCUAUAGUGGCUGGCACACCUGGGUCCCCAGAAAACACCCUGUGCUGGUUGCCUUAAGCCACCCAGAUUUCAAACUAUCUAGAGCAGGAGUCUGCAAACUACAGCCUUCGGGCCAAAUCCAGCUCACAGCCUUGUUUUGUAAAUAAAGUUUUAUUGUCACACAGUCAUGCCCAUUCCUUAGUAUAGUGUCUGUGACUGCUUCAGAGGUGAGCAGUUGGCAACAGACCAUUUGGCUCAAAAAACACAAUAUUACCAUCUGGCCCUUUACAGAACACCAUGCAACCCCUGCUCUAGAGGAAAUGGAAGGGCCACAUGCUCUUCAAGUCAGUCCUCCAGAAGGUCUAUGCUCAGUGAAGUUCCCAACAGACGUGGAGCAGUCGUGAGUUCAACACCAUAUCUCCUGGCAGCAACCUGGCUUGCACGGCUCGACGCUGACAGUUAUAAAUGGUACCACGAGCCUGAGCCAACACUGUGGGCUGACCUUGAGAAUCUUGACAGGGACAGGUACCUGCCUAGGAACCAAUAUGUUCCAGUGCAGCAGUGAGAGAGGAGAACAGCCAAGUUGAUCUUUAAAAAUAACUCUGGGAACCUCCCUGGUGUCCCAGUGGUUCAGACUGUCUUCCAGUGCAGGGGGUGACGUUUCACUCCCUGGUUCCGGGAGCUAAGAUCUCACAUGCCUCAGCCAGAGAACCAAAAUAUUGAGCAGAAACAAUAUGGCAACAAAUCCCACAAGGACUUUAAAAAUGGUCUGCUGCUGCUGCUAAGUCACUUCAGUCGUGUCCGACUGUGUGUGACCCCAUAGAUGGCAGCCCCCCAGGCUCCCCCGACCCUGGGAUUCUCCAGGCAAGAACACUGGAGUGGGGUGCCAUUUCCUUCUCCAGUGCAUGACAGUGAAAAGUGAAAGUGAAGUCGCU